CUGCGAUGAUGUGUUUCUUAGGACACCUUUGGAUUGACCAUGAAAAUAAAUCCAUUUCUGAGCAGC
Small nucleolar RNA from Capra hircus (goat), 66 nucleotides. Its record names the gene SNORD58. It matches the Rfam family "Small nucleolar RNA SNORD58". From Rfam's summary of the family: snoRNA U58 is found in introns 1, 3 and 6 of the ribosomal protein RPL17 gene in humans. U58 is a member of the C/D class of snoRNA which contain C (UGAUGA) and D (CUGA) box motifs. NCBI's taxonomy places the organism in Eukaryota, Metazoa, Chordata, Mammalia, Artiodactyla, Bovidae. The record is from Ensembl.